CGAUGAAGGACGUGCUAAUCUGCGAUAAGCGCCGGUAAGGUGAUAUGAACCGUUAUAACCGGCGAUUUCCGAAUGGGGAAACCCAGUGUGAUUCGUCACACUAUCAUUAACUGAAUCCAUAGGUUAAUGAGGCGAACCGGGGGAACUGAAACAUCUAAGUACCCCGAGGAAAAGAAAUCAACCGAGAUUCCCCCAGUAGCGGCGAGCGAACGGGGAGGAGCCCAGAGCCUGAAUCAGCAUGUGUGUUAGUGGAAGCGUCUGGAAAGGCGCGCGAUACAGGGUGACAGCCCCGUACACAAAAGCGCAUGUGCUGUGAGCUCGAUGAGUAGGGCGGGACACGUGGUAUCCUGUCUGAAUAUGGGGGGACCAUCCUCCAAGGCUAAAUACUCCUGACUGACCGAUAGUGAACCAGUACCGUGAGGGAAAGGCGAAAAGAACCCCGGCGAGGGGAGUGAAAAAGAACCUGAAACCGUGUACGUACAAGCAGUGGGAGCACAGGUUUACCUGUGUGACUGCGUACCUUUUGUAUAAUGGGUCAGCGACUUAUAUUCUGUAGCAAGGUUAACCGUAUAGGGGAGCCGGAGGGAAACCGAUGCUUGAUUGGGCGUUAA
Molecule: ribosomal RNA, 611 nt
Filed under: Salmonella enterica subsp. enterica serovar Typhimurium
Lineage: Bacteria; Pseudomonadati; Pseudomonadota; Gammaproteobacteria; Enterobacterales; Enterobacteriaceae
Description: bacterial LSU rRNA
Rfam family: Bacterial large subunit ribosomal RNA
Source: RNAcentral